This is a small nucleolar RNA of Neltuma alba, 83 nucleotides long. RefSeq annotates it as small nucleolar RNA Z102/R77. The transcript has a single exon. The record is from RefSeq and is a predicted model, not a curated record. Lineage: Eukaryota; Viridiplantae; Streptophyta; Magnoliopsida; Fabales; Fabaceae.
GAAUGCGAUGAUGAUUAUCUGUUUCCCUAUUGGUUUGAUUGCCUGGAUGAUGACAUUGUUGUAUUAGCUCUAUAUGAUCAUUC